Molecule: ribosomal RNA, 465 nt
Filed under: uncultured bacterium
Lineage: Bacteria
Description: partial 16S ribosomal RNA
Rfam family: Bacterial small subunit ribosomal RNA
Source: RNAcentral
CCUACGGGUGGCAGCAGUGGGGAAUAUUGCGCAAUGGGCGAAAGCCUGACGCAGCGACGCCGCGUGAGGGAUGAAGGUCUUCGGAUCGUAAACCUCUGUCAGCAGGGAAGAACGGUCACUUUGCUAAUCAGCAGUGAAUUGACGGUACCUGCAAAGGAAGCACCGGCUAACUCCGUGCCAGCAGCCGCGGUAAUACGGAGGGGGCGAGCGUUAAUCGGAAUUACUGGGCGGAAGGCGCUCGUAGGCGGUAUGUCAAGUCAAGGGUGAAAUCCCCGCGCUCAACGUGGGAACUGCCUUUGAAACUGGCAGACUGGAGUGUGUGAGAGGAUAGUGGAAUUCCAGGUGUAGGAGUGAAAUCCGUAGAUAUCUGGAGGAACAUCAGUGGCGAAGGCGACUAGCUGGAACAUAACUGACGCUGAGGAGCGAAAGCGUGGGUAGCAAACAGGAUUAGAUACCCCUGUAGUC